RNAcentral lists this long non-coding RNA (1065 nucleotides) under Marmota monax (woodchuck). The record is from RNAcentral. Lineage: Eukaryota; Metazoa; Chordata; Mammalia; Rodentia; Sciuridae.
GUUUGCUCAUUCUAAGGAUAUAUAUUAGAUUUGUUUUUUUUUUAAGAUUGAUUAAAAAAAAUUCAACUUAUUUCCUUAACCCAACAAGUACAGUGGAAUGUAGUUAUAAUAAAAAUCUCCUUAGAAAAGGCCAUAUUUCUAUGUUAUUGGGAAUCUGGUUAAAUUUAACUUAACAACCAAUUAAACUGCAUUUAUUUACCUAAGGCUUUGCAAACGCAUAGCAGGAAACUAUUUUCCAAGUUCAAGUUUCACUGUGGAUUUCAAGGGAGUUUCCACAAAGCAAUUUCCCACAAAAAUCUCUCAGCCAAGUUCUAUAAUGUCAAGUGUAACAGACUCAAUAAUUGAAUCUUUAUCCAGCAUGGAGAUGAGAUGGCUUCUGAUCUAGUAUUACACCAGCUAGAACAUGUCACAGGUCAGUAAGAGCAGUUAAAUUAGAUGGAAUGCAUGCUGUGUGUGUAGUGUGUGUGUGUGUGUGUGUGCGCACGCUUAUACGUGCACUAGCUUUAUGAUGCUGAAAUACAACCUAUAGUGUUCACCAAGUUAUCAUAAAUAGCUACAAGCUGGAGUUAAUGGGGAGUGAUAUUUCUAUCUCAAAUGUGUUAUGGUAUACUUUGUUGUAAUGUAAUGCAACAGGAUAUUUUCAAGUUCCUUUGAUAGCAAUCACUGGUUUAUUAAACUUUCACUAUGUAAAAUAGAGAGGUUUUUAAGAAAUAAGAGAAGAGCAAUCAUGGCAGAGCUGAUGAAAAUAACUAAACUUAAAAGUGGUGCUAUGAACAGUUUGUCUUGCCACUGUGAGUUGAAAAUGUCCUAUUUCUUUUCACCUCUUUAACUGUGAAAGUAAUAAUGCUUAAAAGGACUUCAUUAUGAAUUUAUUAAAUUAAUACAUUUGUAUUAAAAUACUAGGAAUUGAAUAGAUGCAAUGUUGUCAGUUUUUCAUAGAAGAACCUAAAAGUCUCUUAAGACUGUCAAAUUCUUUAGGGACUUUUUAAAUAUAAUGUUUUAAUUCAUUCUCAAAAGUCUUACAACCAAGUUUUUGGUAGUUGAGGCUGGAUUAUUGACUUGGAG